Molecule: ribosomal RNA, 399 nt
Filed under: uncultured bacterium
Lineage: Bacteria
Description: bacterial SSU rRNA
Rfam family: Bacterial small subunit ribosomal RNA
Source: RNAcentral
UGGGGAAUCUUAGACAAUGGGGGCAACCCUGAUCUAGCCAUGCCGCGUGAGUGAUGAAGGCCCUAGGGUCGUAAAGCUCUUUCGCCGGGGAAGAUAAUGACUGUACCCGGUAAAGAAACCCCGGCUAACUCCGUGCCAGCAGCCGCGGUAAUACGGAGGGGGUUAGCGUUGUUCGGAAUUACUGGGCGUAAAGCGCGCGUAGGCGGAUAUUCAAGUCGGGGGUGAAAUCCCGGGGCUCAACCCCGGAACUGCCUUCGAUACUGGAUGUCUGGAGUUCGAGAGAGGUGAGUGGAAUUCCGAGUGUAGAGGUGAAAUUCGUAGAUAUUCGGAGGAACACCAGUGGCGAAGGCGGCUCACUGGCUCGAUACUGACGCUGAGGCGCGAAAGCGUGGGGAGCAA